Molecule: RNA transcript, 1116 nt
Organism: Hydractinia symbiolongicarpus
Lineage: Eukaryota; Metazoa; Cnidaria; Hydrozoa; Anthoathecata; Hydractiniidae
Gene name: pleckstrin homology domain-containing family D member 1-like
Exons: 3
Source: RefSeq, a predicted model, not a curated record
CUUGUUGGCUUGUUUUGAAAACCAUUAUGAAUCUUGUUUCAGCCUUGAGAAGAGGACAGGAAAUUCGCGAAAAAGAGAAGCUGGAUCGUGUUAAUAAAUUAACAAAAGAAAACACCGACAUGGCCAUUAAACUAGAAACUUAUAUUGAAGAAAUGGAAGAAAUGGACUCGCGUGUCGAAAGUUUAGAAAAAGAAAAUAAAGAAUUAUUGAAACAAAAUGAACGAGCAAAAACUAUGGAACUGUUUGGUUCACAUACGGCUGAGUUAGUGGAGCUGGAAGCGGAGAAAGAAGAGUUGACAAUCAAACUAGAAAAAGAAAUGAAACGGCGGGAAAAUGUUGAGACUGAACUUUUUAAAGUUGAAGAGGAGUUUGAAAAUUAUAAACUACAGGCUGAACAAGAAGAACUUCAAUGGCAGACGAAAAUGCAAAGUUUCGAGCUUAAAGAAGACGAACUUUUAAAUUUCCAGGAUGAUGAGAAUGUUGGAAACGUGGAAGUAAACAAGGAUUUAAAAAACAUUUUACGUUGCAAACAAAUCGCCAUUGGUAAUUUGGAGGGAGAAAAGAAGGAGCUAAUGAAUAAAAUUCAAUCAUUAUAGCAGGAGCGUGAAAUAUUACUCGAAGAAAACAGUUCUCUCGCAAAAGCUAACAUGAACCAGAAGGAGAAGAACGUGGAGGUUUCAGAAAACUUUAAAAACAAGAUUAAUCAACUAGAAAAACAAAUGGAAGAAAUGACUGAAAAUCGAAAAACGAUGGAGCAAGAGAACUUCGAUCGGCUCGUUUCGUCAGCUGAAAAGGAGUACGAAUACAGUCAAAAGUAUAAAGAGAAUCACCGCGAGUAUGAGCGAGUGAAGAACGAGUUGAACGUGGCUCAAGAAUAUCUAAGAUUAGCCACCGACAGAAACUCCGAGUUACAGGCGGAGCAUGAGAAAUUGCGAGACGCAUACGAAAAACUUAUGGGUGAAAAGAAGAACAUGGAAGAGAAUUUCAAACUUGAGAGAAAGAAAUCAGACGAAGCCUAUGAGAAGGAGAAAAACCAAAUGCGCGAGCACGCUGAAGAAGAGAAAGAACAAAGAGCAGGGUCAGGGAAUUUUGUUUAGUAUACUUUGCCAACUGCUA